RNAcentral lists this ribosomal RNA (252 nucleotides) under uncultured bacterium. RNAcentral describes it as "partial 16S ribosomal RNA". It matches the Rfam family "Bacterial small subunit ribosomal RNA", at positions 524 to 776 of the family's 1533-position model. The record is from RNAcentral.
UACAGAGGGGGCAAGCGUUGUUCGGAAUUACUGGGCGUAAAGGGCGCGUAGGCGCCUUCUAAGUCGAACGUGAAAUCCCCGGGCUCAACCCGGGAACUGCGUCCGAUACUGGAAGGCUUGAAUCCGGGAGAGGGAUGCGGAAUUCCAGGUGUAGCGGUGAAAUGCGUAGAUAUCUGGAGGAACACCGGUGGCGAAGGCGGCAUCCUGGACCAACACUGACGCUGAGGAGCGAAAGCCAGGGGAGCAAACGGG